Molecule: ribosomal RNA, 253 nt
Filed under: uncultured bacterium
Lineage: Bacteria
Description: partial 16S ribosomal RNA
Rfam family: Bacterial small subunit ribosomal RNA
Source: RNAcentral
UACGUAGGGUGCGAGCGUUAAUCGGAAUUACUGGGCGUAAAGCGUGCGCAGGCGGUUUUGUAAGUCACUUGUGAAAUCUCCGGGCUUAACUCGGAACGGUCAAGUGAUACUGUCGGACUAGAGUGCAGAAGGGGCAACUGGAAUUCUCGGUGUAGCGGUGAAAUGCGUAGAUAUCGAGAGGAACACCUGCGGCGAAGGCGGGUUGCUGGGCUGACACUGACGCUGAGGCGCGAAAGCCAGGGGAGCGAACGGG